Molecule: ribosomal RNA, 253 nt
Filed under: uncultured bacterium
Lineage: Bacteria
Description: partial 16S ribosomal RNA
Rfam family: Bacterial small subunit ribosomal RNA
Source: RNAcentral
UACGUAGGUGGCAAGCGUUGUCCGGAUUUACUGGGCGUAAAGAGCGCGCAGGCGGUCGUUCAAGUCGCGUGUGAAAGCCCCCGGCUCAACUGGGGAGGGUCACGCGAUACUGAUCGACUGGAAGGCAGGAGAGGGUAGUGGAAUUCCCGGUGUAGUGGUGAAAUGCGUAGAUAUUAGGAAGAACACCGGUGGCGAAGGCGGCUCUCUGGAACGGUACUGACGCUGAGACGCGAAAGCGUGGGGAGCGAACAGG